RNAcentral lists this ribosomal RNA (253 nucleotides) under Flintibacter butyricus. RNAcentral describes it as "partial 16S ribosomal RNA". It matches the Rfam family "Bacterial small subunit ribosomal RNA", at positions 524 to 776 of the family's 1533-position model. Lineage: Bacteria; Bacillati; Bacillota; Clostridia; Eubacteriales. The record is from RNAcentral. RNAcentral also lists the same sequence under 1 other name.
UACGUAGGUGGCAAGCGUUAUCCGGAUUUACUGGGUGUAAAGGGCGUGUAGGCGGGAUUGCAAGUCAGAUGUGAAAACCACGGGCUCAACCUGUGGCCUGCAUUUGAAACUGUAGUUCUUGAGUACUGGAGAGGCAGACGGAAUUCCUAGUGUAGCGGUGAAAUGCGUAGAUAUUAGGAGGAACACCAGUGGCGAAGGCGGUCUGCUGGACAGCAACUGACGCUGAGGCGCGAAAGCGUGGGGAGCAAACAGG